UACGAAGGGGGCUAGCGUUGCUCGGAAUUACUGGGCGUAAAGCGCACGUAGGCGGCUUUCUAAGUCGGGGGUGAAAUCCUGGAGCUCAACUCCAGAACUGCCUUCGAUACUGGAAAGCUCGAGUCCGGGAGAGGUUGGUGGAAUUCCGAGUGUAGAGGUGAAAUUCGUAGAUAUUCGGAGGAACACCAGAAGCGAAGGCGGCCAACUGGCCCGAUACUGACGCUGAGGCGCGAAGGCGUGGGGAGCAAACAGG
Molecule: ribosomal RNA, 253 nt
Filed under: uncultured bacterium
Lineage: Bacteria
Description: partial 16S ribosomal RNA
Rfam family: Bacterial small subunit ribosomal RNA
Source: RNAcentral